AAUGAACGCUGGCGGCAUGCCUAACACAUGCAAGUCGAACGAGACCUUCGGGUCUAGUGGCGCACGGGUGCGUAACGCGUGGGAAUCUGCCCUUGGGUUCGGAAUAACAGUUAGAAAUGACUGCUAAUACCGAAUGAUGUCGUAAGACCAAAGAUUCAUCGCCCAGGGAGUGAGCCCGCGUAGGAUUAGCUAGUUGGUGUGGUAAAAGACGCACCAAGGCGACGACCUUAGCUGGUCUGAGAGGAUGAUCAG
RNAcentral lists this ribosomal RNA (252 nucleotides) under uncultured bacterium. RNAcentral's name for it is "partial 16S ribosomal RNA". It matches the Rfam family "Bacterial small subunit ribosomal RNA", at positions 29 to 307 of the family's 1533-position model. The record is from RNAcentral.